UCCACUUUAAUUUGAUGGUAUCCGUAAGCAUUAAAUAUAUUCAAAUAUGGACUCUUAAGGAAUCUUAUCCAGUUUAAAAUCUUAAAUAAUAUAAGAAAUUAUAAUUUAGAUAAUUUAUUAAUUUAGGUUUAUUAGGUGCCAGCAACCGCGGUCAAACCUAAUAAGUUAGCUUACAGGCUUAUUAAUAGUUCAAAAUAAAACCUUUAAAUAAGAUAAUAAAUAGUGAAAUAUUAUUAUCGUUUUCUUUUCUUUUAAAGGAAAUACUAUGUUAAACUCAUAUCUAAAACUAGGAUUAGAGACCCUAUUAUUGUGAGUUAAAAACAACUAUUAUUAAGGAGUAAAAUUAAACAAUUUAAACUUAAAAAUUAUGGCGGCUAAACAAAACACUUAGGGGAACUUACCAUAUAAUUGAUAACCACCAAGCAUAAUCUCACUUACUUUAAAAAUUUGUAUACCGUUGUGUCCAUAAACCCUUCAAAGCGGGUUUAUACAUAUUUCUAGAUAUAAACACAAAUCAAGGUGCAGUCUAUUAGUAAGAAAUAAGGUGAGUUACAAUAUAAUUUUAUUUCGGAUUUAAAAAUGAAAUAUUAAAUGAAGGCGGACUUAAAAGUAAUAUUUAAGGAUUUUAAUAUAAUAUGAAUAUGUU
This 646-nucleotide ribosomal RNA is filed under the name Albinaria schuetti costulifera. RNAcentral's name for it is "partial 12S ribosomal RNA". The record is from RNAcentral. Lineage: Eukaryota; Metazoa; Mollusca; Gastropoda; Stylommatophora; Clausiliidae.